UUUUUAUGGAGAGUUUGAUCCUGGCUCAGGAUGAACGCUGGCGGCGUGCCUAAUACAUGCAAGUCGAGCGAACAGACGAGGAGCUUGCUCCUUUGACGUUAGCGGCGGACGGGUGAGUAACACGUAGGUAACCUACCUAUAAGACUGGGAUAACUUCGGGAAACCGGAGCUAAUACCGGAUAAUAUUUCGAACCGCAUGGUUCGAUAGUGAAAGAUGGCUUU
This 222-nucleotide ribosomal RNA is filed under the name Staphylococcus hominis. Its description in RNAcentral is "16S rRNA. Bacterial SSU". It matches the Rfam family "Bacterial small subunit ribosomal RNA", at positions 1 to 215 of the family's 1533-position model. The record is from RNAcentral. Lineage: Bacteria; Bacillati; Bacillota; Bacilli; Caryophanales; Staphylococcaceae.